AGCGAACGCUGGCGGCAGGCUUAACACAUGCAAGUCGAGCGGGCAUCCUUGUGGUGUCAGCGGCAGACGGGUGAGUAACGCGUGGGAACGUGCCCUUCGGUUCGGAAUAACUCAGGGAAACUUGAGCUAAUACCGGAUACGUGCGAGAGCAGAAAGGUUUAUCUGCCGAAGGAUCGGCCCGCGUCUGAUUAGCUAGUUGGUGAGGUUAUGGCUCACCAAGGCGACGAUCAGUAGCUGGUCUGAGAGGAUGAUCAGCCACACUGGGACUGAGACACGGCCCAGAAUCCUACGGGAGGCAGCAGUGGGGAAUAGUGGACAAUGGGGGCAACCCUGAUCCAGCCAUGCAGCGUGAGUGAUGACGGCCUUAGGGUUGUAAAGCUCUUUUCUCCGGGACGAUAAUGACGGUACCGGAGGAAUAAGCCCCGGCUAACUUCGUG
Molecule: ribosomal RNA, 437 nt
Filed under: uncultured bacterium
Lineage: Bacteria
Description: partial 16S ribosomal RNA
Rfam family: Bacterial small subunit ribosomal RNA
Source: RNAcentral